Molecule: long non-coding RNA, 3021 nt
Organism: Mustela erminea (ermine)
Lineage: Eukaryota; Metazoa; Chordata; Mammalia; Carnivora; Mustelidae
Exons: 3
Source: RefSeq, a predicted model, not a curated record
UGGCCCCGCGCGCCGCUCCUCCCUGCCCGGCCGGGCGCGGGUUGGCGGGACGCGCCUGUCACUCGGCCCGCGCAGCGACUCCGGGAGCUCGGGGGGAAGCAGGGGGCGGUGUGCAAGAAUGUGGAUCGAGACAGCUCUACUGUAUGCGUGGAUCCGUGUGUGUCUGCGAGGCGCCGGCUCUCGGGCCGUGCUCGUGCCUGGAGCGGGGACACUGCGCAGGACGCCGAGCGCCCCCGAGCCCCGGCGGGGUCGGGCGCCCGUUGUCGCUGUCCCCGCGGUGCUCCGGGCUCCCCCACCCCGCACCGGGGAGGCUGGGGAAGCGGAGGCGGCCCCGGGAGAGCCAGGGCGGCCGUAGUAAUAGCGCGUAGUAGUUUGGGGGUAUGUGGAGAAGGUGCUGGAAUGUAACCGUGCCUCCGCCUGCCGGAGCCAGCCUGCAGAGGGAAAGGGAGGGGACAGGCGGAGGGCUCCCGGGGGGGGGCACCAGAGCGGCUGGUGGCACGGUCUUGACCGUGAAAGAAGAAACAGGCAUCGUCGUGCCGGCUGAAACUUUUUCUCCCCAACCCCCACUCAAGUCCACAGGCUGGCUCUUCUCUCCCACCUCGCAUUUAAGAGCGAUUAAGGCUCCGCACAGUAGAUUGCCGGCGCUUGGCAGUUGGGCGACCUCUUGUUCCAAUUCUCCUUGAAAUACAGUUCUUUGGCUGGCGGAAUAGGCCCAAUUUGUUUCUCUGGCACACCAACCUCACACUUAUCCUUCCUUGUGCGUAAGUACCUUUGAUCCCUUUAGGAUUCCAUCUUCACCGGCCAUGCCACAUUUCAAAGAGAGAACAAUCAUCUUAGUAAGACACUGGAGGAAGAGAAUGGCCAUUCCUCCUGGCGUUUUGUCAGAGGGAGAGUGGAGAAGAAAAUGCUUGCUUUGCUACCCGUGUAUAUUCCUCGGCUCAUAUAACAUUUUGAUGCAGCGCUUGGAAGGACUGGUAUCAAUGCAUUCUAUACUCAACUAUGGGAACUGAAAAAUAAAAUCUGUCUCUGGGAGCAGAGCUUAAAUACAGAUACUGCAUCUCCUUUUUCCUUUGUAUUGGUCUAAGAAAGCACCACCUUCUCCCUUUUGGUCUUCCCUCGGAAGAAUCGUCUCGUUGGUGGCAGGCGCUGCAGAAAGUAGAAAUGUUAGAAAGUAAGGCCUACACUCAGGAGAAAUGAAAAGGCAUUCACUCAGUACGGGUGCAGGGGAAGCCUGUAGAACAUGGAGCAGAAGCUUCAUCUCUUAGGUAAAGCAACAUGUAACAACUGAUGUUAAGGAGGAAAAUGAUGGGGUUCUUUUGUCUCGCAGAAGAUCCACACAAAAGCCAAUAUGGUUGCAGGCUAAAAGGACCCCAAGAGGUUGCGCGGGUGGCUGUGUGUGCGUGAAGCUUUUCCUUUUGGACUUUGAUGAGUCAUGAUGUGUUCUCUGAACUUGCUUUUCUCUUUCUAGUUUGGCAUCAAGAGAUGGAAGUCGCUCUUUCAUGUCUGUAUGGCCACUUUCACUUGUUAUGUAAGUCGGCUGCGGUUGAUGUUCUGUUUAGAGUGGAUGUUGGGUUUGAAAAUUGGUAUCUGGCUAUAACAUCCUCAUAGGGAACAAUUCCUCAUGCAAUGUUUGGAAGCUUGUAAUCCCACCAGGCAAACUGGUAAUGGCCGGCUGAAGUGUUGCCAGGCUUCCGACAGGAACAAGUCAGACACUUAGGAAAUGAAUACUUUUUCUACAGUCGUGGAGCCUAAACUUGUUUAGGCUCUUGGACAAAAGUGAAUUAGCCGACAUUUACUUUAGUGACGAGUUUAUAAUUAGCAAGUAAAUUGACCAUAGAGGUAAAAGCUCUUCUUUCUCCUUUUUCCCAACCAACUGUCUCAAGAGAUUUUGUUUCGUCAGUCGUUCCUCCAAAAUACCCGCCCUGUUCUCUGUGAUGGCAUCUCCCUCUCAUUUAAGAGCCUUUGUCUAUUUCCAAUCCAUUCCGUGAUAAAUUUUGGUCAUAGCAUGUCAUCCAAGGCUGAGCACCGACGGAUUUCUGCCAGCCUCGUUGACUUCCUCAAACCCCUCAAACCCCUCAAACCCCGGCGCCAGAAACCUGGACUACCCGCGGGUUCCUAAGGGACCAUACUGGAUAUACCUCCGUCCGACCAAAAUGCAGAUUCCCAGUCCUAUCCUCCAAGACUCAGCUAUGGCCCAGCCUCCUUCCGGUGGCCCUCCUUGCCCUCCCCAGGCAAAAGAAGCUGCUUAGCCGACUCUGCUCCCAUAGCAACCAGUGUGUACCUCCAUUAUAGCUCUUACCACUUUGAUGCGAUUAUUUGGUUGGUAUCCUCCACUAGAUGGUUAGUGCCUGGAGGGCCUAGAGCAAGUACAAUUCAUCUUCGAAACCUCAGCCCUUAGCCAGACGUCUAGUACAUUGUAUGUUGUUUAAAAACAAAGCAAAAACACCAAAAAGCAAACAACCCUCUCCCAUAUUAAAAUUAUCUGAUAGGAUCUAAGGGGUCUUCCCAAUUAGUAAUUCUCAAGCUAAUGAACAGGAUUACUAAGUGUUCAGAAUCCGCUGUUUUCCAAGCUGAAAAGGCUAAUAUGCUUUUGUUUGGUUUGUUCUGUUUCGGGGGGCGAGGUCGGAGGUGAGAAACUACAGCUCUUGAAGUCAUAUAGAGAGCACUGAGAGGAGGUUUUGUGUGGUUUUUAAAUUAGGCUAGGAGCAACACGAGUUCACUUAACAGCCGUGUGAUAGAGGAGUAAUCAUGAUAAUAGUAUCUCCUUUUAUUUCUCCUUUAAAUCACAGGCCAGGGUUUGUGCACAGGCCUUGACCCAUGCCCUUGGUCCACUUGAUCCGACUGAGUUACGUGACAUUAUCCCCAUUUUACAGAUGAAGAAACUGAGAGGCAUUAAAUUAUUUGCCUCAGGUGGGGUCUCCAUAGUGGAGUGAGCAAGGCAGUUCACUGUGAUUUGGGAAGAACAUUAGAAAUUCUAUUUCUUGGGGGCGCCUGGGUGGCUCAGUGGGUUAAGCCUCUGCC